UACAGAGGUCCCAAGCGUUAUUCGGAUUCAUUGGGCGUAAAGGGUGCGUAGGUGGCGCUGUAAGUCGGGUGUGAAAUUUCGGAGCUUAACUCCGAAACUGCAUUCGAUACUGCGGUGCUUGAGGACUGGAGAGGAGACUGGAAUUCAUGGUGUAGCAGUGAAAUGCGUAGAGAUCAUGAGGAAGACCAGUGGCGAAGGCGGGUCUCUGGACAGUUCCUGACACUGAGGCACGAAAGCUAGGGGAGCAAACAGG
RNAcentral lists this ribosomal RNA (253 nucleotides) under uncultured bacterium. Its description in RNAcentral is "partial 16S ribosomal RNA". It matches the Rfam family "Bacterial small subunit ribosomal RNA", at positions 524 to 776 of the family's 1533-position model. The record is from RNAcentral.